This 226-nucleotide ribosomal RNA is filed under the name uncultured bacterium. RNAcentral describes it as "partial 16S ribosomal RNA". It matches the Rfam family "Bacterial small subunit ribosomal RNA", at positions 109 to 335 of the family's 1533-position model. The record is from RNAcentral.
AGUAGCGCGUGGGUCAUCUGCCCCGAAGUGGGGGAUAACGCUCCGAAAGGUGUGCUAAUCCCGCAUAUUUCCACUGGUAUCAGUACUGGUGGACAAAGCCGCAAGGCGCUUUGGGAGGAGCCCGCGUCCCAUUAGCUUGUUGGCGGGGUAAAAGCCCACCAAGGCUUUGAUGGGUGGCUGGUCUGAGAGGACGACCAGCCAGACUGGGACUGAGACACGGCCCGAG